GACGAACGCUGGCGGCGUGCUUAACACAUGCAAGUCGAACGAUGAAGCGGUGCUUGCACCGUGGAUUAGUGGCGAACGGGUGAGUAAUACGUGAGUGACCUACCUUUGACUCUGGGAUAAGCCUGGGAAACUGGGUCUAAUACCGGAUACGACCAAUCUCUGCAUGGGGUGUUGGUGGAAAGCGUUAUGGAGUGGUUUUAGAUGGGCUCACGGCCUAUCAGCUUGUUGGUGAGGUAAUGGCUUACCAAGGCGACGACGGGUAGCCGGCCUGAGAGGGUGACCGGCCACACUGGGACUGAGACACGGCCCAGACUCCUACGGGAGGCAGCAGUGGGGAAUAUUGCACAAUGGCGCAAGCCUGAUGCAGCGACGCCGCGUGAGGGAUGACGGCCUUCGGGUUGUAAACCUCUGUUAGCAUCGAAGAAGCGAAAGUGACGGUAGGUGCAGAGAAAGCGCCGGCUAACUACGUGCCAGCAGCCGCGGUAAUACGUAGGGCGCGAGCGUUGUCCGGAAUUAUUGGGCGUAAAGAGCUUGUAGGCGGUUGGUCGCGUCUGCUGUGAAAGGCCGGGGCUUAACUCCGGUUUUGCAGUGGGUACGGGCUAACUAGAGUGCAGUAGGGGAGACUGGAAUUCCUGGUGUAGCGGUGGAAUGCACAGAUAUCAGGAGGAACACCGAUGGCGAAGGCAGGUCUCUGGGCUGUAACUGACGCUGAGAAGCGAAAGCAUGGGGAGCGAACAGGAUUAGAUACCCUGGUAGUCCAUGCCGUAAACGUUGGGCACUAGGUGUGGGGGACAUUCCACGUUUUCCGCGCCGUAGCUAACGCAUUAAGUGCCCCGCCUGGGGAGUACGGCCGCAAGGCUAAAACUCAAAGGAAUUGACGGGGGCCCGCACAAGCGGCGGGGCAUGCGGAUUAAUUCGAUGCAACGCGAAGAACCUUACCAAGGCUUGACAUGCAUUAGAUCGCGUCAGAGAUGGCGUUUCCCUUCGGGGCUGGUGUACAGGUGGUGCAUGGUUGUCGUCAGCUCGUGUCGUGAGAUGUUGGGUUAAGUCCCGCAACGAGCGCAACCCUCGUUCUAUGUUGCCAGCGGUUCGGCCGGGGACUCAUAGGAGACUGCCGGGGUCAACUCGGAGGAAGGUGGGGAUGACGUCAAAUCAUCAUGCCCCUUAUGUCUUGGGCUUCACGCAUGCUACAAUGGCCGGUACAGAGGGUUGCGAUACUGUGAGGUGGAGCUAAUCCCUUAAAGCCGGUCUCAGUUCGGAUUGGGGUCUGCAACUCGACCCCAUGAAGUCGGAGUCGCUAGUGAUCGCAGAUCAGCAACGCUGCGGUGAAUACGUUCCCGGGCCU
RNAcentral lists this ribosomal RNA (1345 nucleotides) under uncultured bacterium. Its description in RNAcentral is "bacterial SSU rRNA". It matches the Rfam family "Bacterial small subunit ribosomal RNA", at positions 28 to 1381 of the family's 1533-position model. The record is from RNAcentral.